UUAUCGGAGAGUUUGAUCCUGGCUCAGGACGAACGCUGGCGGCGUGCCUAAUACAUGCAAGUCGAGCGGAUUGAYGGGAGCUUGCUCCCRUCARUCAGCGGCGGACGGGUGAGUAACACGUGGGUAACCUGCCUGUAAGACUGGGAUAACUCCGGGAAACCGGGGCUAAUACCGGAUAACUCAUUUCCUCGCAUGAGGAAAUGUUGAAAGGUGGCUUUUAGCUAUCACUUACAGAUGGACCCGCGGCGCAUUAGCUAGUUGGUGAGGUAACGGCUCACCAAGGCGACGAUGCGUAGCCGACCUGAGAGGGUGAUCGGCCACACUGGGACUGAGACACGGCCCAGACUCCUACGG
This 354-nucleotide ribosomal RNA is filed under the name Rossellomorea aquimaris. RNAcentral describes it as "bacterial SSU rRNA". It matches the Rfam family "Bacterial small subunit ribosomal RNA", at positions 1 to 344 of the family's 1533-position model. Lineage: Bacteria; Bacillati; Bacillota; Bacilli; Caryophanales; Bacillaceae. The record is from RNAcentral.